RNAcentral lists this ribosomal RNA (285 nucleotides) under Triticum aestivum (bread wheat). Its description in RNAcentral is "partial small subunit ribosomal RNA". Lineage: Eukaryota; Viridiplantae; Streptophyta; Magnoliopsida; Poales; Poaceae. The record is from RNAcentral.
AUGUCAGCGCUUGAGAUUCUUCAGUUUGUUAUGGUUGUAGAUUGCUAUCCAAAUGUCUUUGUUGCCUAUCAGAUCUUCUUAAGAGUGCAUGUGACUAUAGCCUUAGCUGAAAGAAGUUUCUCUAAACUGAAACUACUGAAAAGUUAUUUGAGGUCAACUAUGUUGCAAGAUAGGUUAAAUGGCUUGGCUAUGUGCUGCAUUGAGAAGGAUAUCUUGGACAAUAUUGAUCUUGAUUGUGCCCUUAUUGACUUUGCAUCAAGAAACGUCCAAAGAAACUUUUUCUGA